Molecule: ribosomal RNA, 495 nt
Filed under: uncultured bacterium
Lineage: Bacteria
Description: partial 16S ribosomal RNA
Rfam family: Bacterial small subunit ribosomal RNA
Source: RNAcentral
GACGAACGCUGGCGGCGUGCCUAAUACAUGCAAGUAGAACGCUGAAGGAGGAGCUUGCUUCUCUGGAUGAGUUGCGAACGGGUGAGUAACGCGUAGGUAACCUGCCUGGUAGCGGGGGAUAACUAUUGGAAACGAUAGCUAAUACCGCAUAAUAGUAGAUGUUGCAUGACAUUUGCUUAAAAGGUGCAAUUGCAUCACUACCAGAUGGACCUGCGUUGUAUUAGCUAGUUGGUGGGGUAACGGCUCACCAAGGCGACGAUACAUAGCCGACCUGAGAGGGGGAUCGGCCACACUGGGACUGAGACACGGCCCAGACUCCUACGGGAGGCAGCAGUAGGGAAUCUUCGGCAAUGGACGGAAGUCUGACCGAGCAACGCCGCGGGAGUGAAGAAGGGUUUCGGAUCGUAAAGCUCUGUUGUAAGAGAAGAACGAGUGUGAGAGUGGAAAGUUCACACUGUGACGGUAUCUUAACAGAAAGGGACGGCUAACUACGUG